UAUUGAUUCCGGCUCGAGCCUAGAGAGGACGUGUUCUCUGGACUCAGGGACCCCAGAGUCAGAAGGCGUGAGAACCCUGACCCCUAACCCACUGCAUCCAGCCAAUAGGAACCCAGCCACCAUGGCGGAGCUGCAGGAGGUGCAGAUCACAGAGGAGAAGCCACUGUUGCCAGGACAGACGCCUGAGGCGGCCAAGGUUAUUAGAGACCGUUUGACUCCCAUGCCCAAAUUCCAGACCUCAAAGCAUCCCCCUUGCCUUCUAACUUCCCAAGCCUACUGAUCUUAUUCUAACUCUCUCCCCAUACACUAUAAUUGGGAGUCAGGCCCUUGUCUUGUCACUACACUAACCUUCAUCCUUUCCAUGUCUCUCUUUGUCAAUCUCUUUCUGUCUUUGGUCUCUGUUGGUCUGUCUUUACUUGCUUCUCUUUGUCUGUCUGUCUCUCCAUCUGGGAUGCCACAUGGUCGUGUGUUUCUGUGUGAAUCCGUGUGUGUCUCUCCAGGAGGCUGAGUUAGCUGCCCGAAUCCU
This 526-nucleotide small RNA is filed under the name Pongo abelii (Sumatran orangutan). Its description in RNAcentral is "retained intron". The record is from RNAcentral. Lineage: Eukaryota; Metazoa; Chordata; Mammalia; Primates; Hominidae.